AUGCGUAGAGUAACUCCCAAUAUAAGAGUAAAAACAAGACAAGGAAGAGCAAUUUCCAUUCGUUGGUUAUUAGAAGCAUCCCAAAAGCGUCCGGGUCAAAAUAUGACUUUCAAAUUAAGUUUCGAAUUAGUAGAUGCUGCCAAUGGGAGUGGGGGUGCCCUACGCAAAAAGGAAGCGACUCAUAGAAUGGCAGAGGCAAAUAGAGCUCUUGCACAUUCUUGUUAA
This 225-nucleotide ribosomal RNA is filed under the name Triticum aestivum (bread wheat). Its description in RNAcentral is "partial small subunit ribosomal RNA". Lineage: Eukaryota; Viridiplantae; Streptophyta; Magnoliopsida; Poales; Poaceae. The record is from RNAcentral.